UACGUAGGGUGCGAGCGUUGUCCGGAAUUAUUGGGCGUAAAGAGCUCGUAGGCGGCCUGUCGCGUCGGAUGUGAAAACCCGGGGCUCAACCCCGGGCCUGCAUUCGAUACGGGCAGGCUAGAGUUCGGCAGGGGAGACUGGAAUUCCUGGUGUAGCGGUGAAAUGCGCAGAUAUCAGGAGGAACACCGGUGGCGAAGGCGGGUCUCUGGGCAACAACUGACGCUGAGGAGCGAAAGCGUGGGGAGCGAACAGG
RNAcentral lists this ribosomal RNA (253 nucleotides) under uncultured prokaryote. RNAcentral describes it as "partial 16S ribosomal RNA". It matches the Rfam family "Bacterial small subunit ribosomal RNA", at positions 524 to 776 of the family's 1533-position model. The record is from RNAcentral.